This is a long non-coding RNA of Macadamia integrifolia, 702 nucleotides long. RefSeq lists it as uncharacterized. The transcript is spliced from 3 exons. Lineage: Eukaryota; Viridiplantae; Streptophyta; Magnoliopsida; Proteales; Proteaceae. The record is from RefSeq and is a predicted model, not a curated record.
UCGACUUCUCAUUCACACACAGAGAGAGACAGAGGAGGGGAGAGAACCGGUGCUGCGUUCUCUGGUCGCCAUUCAGUUGGAACGAUUCUGAAGUUUCUUCUCUUGGAACCGUUUGUUGUUCCUGUCGCUUCUUCUGGUGCUGCUCCGGCUCCGGCUCCGGCUCCGGCUCCGGCUCUGCUCCAUCUCCAUGGGAGAAAGACAAAGGAGGGGAAACAACUCAGACCCACGAUAUCGUUCAUCUUCUUCGGGUUGGAUCUUCAUCUGAGAGAAUCGAAAGAAUCCCAUUCCCAUGUUUGUUCGUGGGUCUGCGUGAGUGCUCUGUUGGGAUCAACAAACCUUACCAUCGGUCAUCCUCUUCCCAUAACUUGAGGUUCCUCUCUGAAUCUCCAGUGGACCAAUUUAUUGUGAACGGUAGCUGCAGAAAUUUGACUCUAAUUCCCAUUCAUCAGUGGAAGGGAAAACUUUCAGCUCAUAGAAGGCCACUUACAGAUAAGGCGGCAUAUAGGUCUUACUUUACUCCAUACCUAUUGAUUUUUUCUGGAUGCUGCUGUUGUUAACCUUUUUUUUGUUGUGUGGUUUCCCUGAGUAGUUCAAUUUUUGUUUUUUAGUGUCUUAAUGUGAUUUGCAAUUCAAGUUUGAGGCUGAUGUUGAUGUGUAUUGGUUCCUAAAACAUAUGGUCACAAUAUUGAAGGUUGAGUUUUG